This 74-nucleotide transfer RNA is filed under the name Isosphaeraceae bacterium. Its description in RNAcentral is "tRNA-Arg". It matches the Rfam family "tRNA". From Rfam's summary of the family: Transfer RNA (tRNA) molecules are approximately 80 nucleotides in length. Their secondary structure includes four short double-helical elements and three loops (D, anti-codon, and T loops). Further hydrogen bonds mediate the characteristic L-shaped molecular structure. tRNAs have two regions of fundamental functional importance: the anti-codon, which is responsible for specific mRNA codon recognition, and the 3' end, to which the tRNAs corresponding amino acid is attached (by aminoacyl-tRNA synthetases). tRNAs cope with the degeneracy of the genetic code in two manners: having more than one tRNA (with a specific anti-codon) for a particular amino acid; and 'wobble' base-pairing, i.e. permitting non-standard base-pairing at the 3rd anti-codon position. Lineage: Bacteria; Pseudomonadati; Planctomycetota; Planctomycetia; Isosphaerales; Isosphaeraceae. The record is from RNAcentral.
GCCCCCGUAGCUCAGCCGGAUAGAGCAUGGGAUUUCUAAUCCCACGGUCGCAGGUUCGAAUCCUGCCGGGGGUA